Sipha flava (yellow sugarcane aphid) is the source of this 399-nucleotide long non-coding RNA. RefSeq lists it as uncharacterized. The transcript has 3 exons. Lineage: Eukaryota; Metazoa; Arthropoda; Insecta; Hemiptera; Aphididae. The record is from RefSeq and is a predicted model, not a curated record.
UUUUUUUCAUCUAAGUUAAAAAACAUUGUGCGGUACUUUGAUAGAAAUUUUAAAAUGAAACAACGCGAACAGUUAAUUGAGUGUUUUCCGUGUACGUAGAAACAAUUUUCAAGUCAUAUUUUUGUACUAUCGACUCUUUACGACCGAAAGCUGAGCGCUUUUUUUUUCCAUCGCAGAUGGAUAACUAUUUUUUGGACACGGUUUUCGGGACACGAAAGAAAACUAUGAACGGCGAACGGCGCCGAAAAGUUAAAAUGGUCAACUUAGGCAUGCAUUUUACGUUCCACGUCCCACUAUAUUUCAUUCGAUAGACGUGUAAAAAAAACAAUAGAGGAUUAUUGAAACCAAAUUUUGACUAUGAAACGGAAACGUGAACCAUACACGCAAAGUAUGUAGGGA